GACGAACGCUGGCGGCGUGCUUAACACAUGCAAGUCGAACGAGAAAGCCCUUCGGGGUAAGUACAGUGGCGAACGGGUGAGUAACACGUGGGCAACCUGCCCCAGAGAGCGGGACAACCCGGGGAAACCCGGGCUAAUACCGCAUGAUGCGUCUCCACUUAAGUGGAGCCGCCAAAUGGUAGCUUCGGCCUCCGCUCUGGGAUGGGCCCGCGCCGGAUUAGCUAGUUGGUUGGGGUAACGGCCCACCAAGGCGAAGAUCCGUAGCUGGUCUGGGAGGAAGAUCAGCCACACUGGGACUGAGACACGGCCCAGACUCCUACGGGAGGCAGCAGUGGGGAAUCUUGCGCAAUGGGCGAAAGCCUGACGCAGCAACGCCGCGUGGGGGAAGAAGGCCUUCGGGUUGUAAACCUCUUUCAGUAGGGACGAAGCUUCCGGGGUUAAUAGCCUACGGGGUGACGGUACCUACAGAAGAAGCCCCGGCUAACUACGUGCCAGCCGCCGCGGUAA
This 507-nucleotide ribosomal RNA is filed under the name uncultured bacterium. RNAcentral's name for it is "partial 16S ribosomal RNA". It matches the Rfam family "Bacterial small subunit ribosomal RNA", at positions 28 to 523 of the family's 1533-position model. The record is from RNAcentral.